GACGAACGCUGGCGGCGUGCUUAACACAUGCAAGUCGAACGGAAAGGCCCUGCUUUUGUUGGUUGCUCGAGUGGCGAACGGGGGAGUAACACGUGUGUAACCUGCCCUUGACUUUGGGGUAACUUCAGGAAACUGCGGCUAAUACACGAUAUGAGCUCCUGCUGCGUGGUGGGGGUUGGUAAGUUUCGGCGGUUGUGGCUCGACUCGCGGCUUAUCCGCUUGUUUGGCGGGUAGUGGCGUACGAGGGCUAAGACGGGUAGCCGGCCUGAGAGGGUUACCGGGCACAUUGGGACUGCGAUACGGCGCAGACUCGUACGGGAGGCAGCAGGGGGGAGUAUUGCACAAUGGGGGGAAGCGUGAUGCAGCAACGCCGCGAGCGUGAUGACGGCCUUCGGGUUGUAAACCGCUUUCGCAUGUGACGAAGCGUGAGUGACGGUAAUGGGUAAAGAAGCACCGGCUAACUACGUG
Molecule: ribosomal RNA, 468 nt
Filed under: uncultured bacterium
Lineage: Bacteria
Description: partial 16S ribosomal RNA
Rfam family: Bacterial small subunit ribosomal RNA
Source: RNAcentral